AUGACGAUCGAGCUGCAGUCGAGGCCGUCGCUCCCGGCGCCGGCGGGUGCGCCACCGCGCGCGGGCACGGGGCUGCCGCCGGGGUUCCGGUUCUACCCGACGGACGAGGAGCUGAUCGUGCACUACCUCCGCAGGCGCGCCGCUGCGGCGCCGUGCCCGGCGGCCGUCAUCGCGGAGGUGGACAUCUACAAGUUGGACCCGUGGGAGCUCCCGUCGCGGGCCGUGUUCGAGGGCGACAACGACGAGUGGUACUUCUUCAGCCCCCGCGACCGCAAGUACCCCAACGGCGUCCGCCCCAACCGCGCCGCCGGGUCGGGGUACUGGAAGGCCACCGGCACCGACAAGCCCAUCACGGCCGGCGGCGUGCCCGGCGGCGAGGUGGUCGGCGUGAAGAAGGCGCUGGUGUUCUACCAGGGGCGUCCCCCCAAGGGGCUCAAGACCAACUGGAUCAUGCACGAGUACCGCCUCGCCGACGCCCACGCCGCCGCCGUCGCGCACACCUACCGGCCGCCCACGCGCUUCAAGGCCUCCUCCUCCAUGAGGCUCGACGAUUGGGUGCUCUGCAGGAUCUACAAGAAGCCCAACCCGCAGCAGCUGUCGCCCUUCUACGAGCCGUCGCCGUCGCCAUCGUCCAUGGACGCCAGCCUCGGCCUCGGCCACCACCACCACCAUCAGUACCAGCAGCAGCGACAGCAGCAGCAAGAGGACACCUCCUCCUCCUCCCGGAUGCUGCCGAGGAAUCCUUCCAUCUCCGACUACCUCGUGGACUACUCCGCCGUCUCGGAGCUCUUCGACAGCAUGCCGCCCCCACCACAGCCGGAGACGACUGCAAGCUCCGCCGGCCAGUUCUUCCUCGGCACCACUACUACUGGCGCCGGCGACGGCGAGGCCAGCACGGCGCACAAGAGGCAGGCGACGGCGGACAGCAACAACGAUGGUGAAAUGUCGUCGUUGCACGCUUCCAAGAGGUGGUUGGGUAGCGAUGGGUCCAUGACGACGAUGAUGAACGGCGGCUUCUCCAUAUUUGGACCAGACCAGCCUUCCCAGCAGGAUAGGAUAUGA
This 1062-nucleotide ribosomal RNA is filed under the name Triticum aestivum (bread wheat). RNAcentral describes it as "partial small subunit ribosomal RNA". Lineage: Eukaryota; Viridiplantae; Streptophyta; Magnoliopsida; Poales; Poaceae. The record is from RNAcentral.